Molecule: non-coding RNA, 144 nt
Organism: Gossypium raimondii (Peruvian cotton)
Lineage: Eukaryota; Viridiplantae; Streptophyta; Magnoliopsida; Malvales; Malvaceae
Source: Rfam
UAUUAAAAAUUUCAUCCAUUUGUACUAUUAAAAAUUAGUGUGGUUGAUGGAAUAACUAAACAGUGACACGUGGCAUGCAAAGUGUACCUCAACUGACGUACAUGGACCAACUUUUAACAGUAGAAAUGGAUAAUUUUUUUAACA